RNAcentral lists this ribosomal RNA (826 nucleotides) under uncultured Inocybe. RNAcentral's name for it is "eukaryotic LSU rRNA". It matches the Rfam family "Eukaryotic large subunit ribosomal RNA", at positions 72 to 879 of the family's 3401-position model. Lineage: Eukaryota; Fungi; Basidiomycota; Agaricomycetes; Agaricales; Cortinariaceae. The record is from RNAcentral.
GGAUUCCCCUAGUACUGCGAGUGAAGCGGGAAAAGCUCAAAUUUGAAAUCUGGCGGUUUUUGACUGUCCGAGUUGUAAUCUAGAGAAGUGUUACCCGUGCUGGACUGUGUACAAGUCUCCUGGAAUGGGGCAUCAUAGAGGGUGAGAAUCCCGUCUUUGACACGGACUGCCAGUGCACUGUGGGUGUGCUCUCGAAGAGUCGAGUUGUUUGGGAAUGCAGCUCAAAAUGGGUGGUAAAUGCCAUCUAAAGCUAAAUAUUGGCGAGAGACCGAUAGCGAACAAGUACCGUGAGGGAAAGAUGAAAAGAACUUUGGAAAGAGAGUUAAACAGUACGUGAAAUUGCUGAAAGGGAAACGCUUGAAGUCAGUCGCGUUGGCCAGAAAUCAGCCUUGCUUUUGCUUGGUGUACUUUCUGGUCUUUACNGGUCAGCAUCAAUCUUGACCAUUGGAUAAAGUCUGUGGGAAUGUAGCAUCUUUGGAUGUGUUAUAGCCCAUGGUCGCAUACGGUGGUUGGGAUUGAGGAACUCAGCACGCCCUUCUGGGAUGGGCUUCGGCCACAUUCGUGCUUAGGAUGCUGGCAUAAUGGCUUUAAUCGACCCGUCUUGAAACACGGACCAAGGAGUCUAACAUGCCUGCGAGUGUUUGGGUGGAAAAACCCAUGCGCGUAAUGAAAGUGAAAGUUGAGAUCUCUGUCAAAGGAGAGCAUUGACGCCCAGACCAGACCUUUUGUGACGGAUCUGCGGUAGAGCAUGUGUGUUGGGACCCGAAAGAUGGUGAACUAUGCCUGAAUAGGGUGAAGCCAGAGGAAACUCUGGUGGAGGCUCGUA